This 253-nucleotide ribosomal RNA is filed under the name uncultured bacterium. Its description in RNAcentral is "partial 16S ribosomal RNA". It matches the Rfam family "Bacterial small subunit ribosomal RNA", at positions 524 to 776 of the family's 1533-position model. The record is from RNAcentral.
UACGUAGGGUGCAAGCGUUGUCCGGAAUCACUGGGCGUAAAGGGUGCGUAGGCGGGUCUUUAAGUCAGGGGUGAAAUCCUGGAGCUCAACUCCAGAACUGCCUUUGAUACUGAGGAUCUUGAGUACGGGAGAGGUGAGUGGAACUGCGAGUGUAGAGGUGAAAUUCGUAGAUAUUCGCAAGAACACCAGUGGCGAAGGCGGCUCACUGGCCCGUAACUGACGCUGAGGCACGAAAGCGUGGGGAGCAAACAGG